CUCCUUGACAUAAGGAAUAUUAGCGUGCAGCGCAUCAGUGGGGAUUUGUCAUCAGCACAGUACUCAUCCACGACUUGUAGGUCAUAGUGGGAUGUGGAACCUUCUAGGGGAUCAAUUAUCUGUUGGCUAGAGGAGGUGUGUGACAAACUUGGAUAUUUAGCCUGGUGCCUUGCCUUUACUGGCUGAGGCACUGUUGCCCUUCCAGGGAUGUUUGUGCGGAGCCCAUUCAUGGUCAGAUCCAUUAUGUGAAUCACCCUUUGUGAAUAACUGGGGUCACCCAAUGUUAAAAGGGGGUCACC
Pelobates cultripes (western spadefoot toad) is the source of this 299-nucleotide non-coding RNA. The record is from the annotation of a GenBank genome assembly. Lineage: Eukaryota; Metazoa; Chordata; Amphibia; Anura; Pelobatidae.